GUAUGGAAACCUACUAAGUGAUAACUUUCAAUUCAGGGAAACCCCGGAAUAAAAAUGGGCAAUCCUGAGCCAAAUCCUGUUUUAUCAAAAGAAAAGUUCAUAAAAAAAGGAUAGGUACAGAGACUCAAUGGAAGCUGUUCUAGCAAAUGGGGACACUGGUAAAGGAAUCUUUACACUGAAACGUGAGAAAGGAUCAAGGAGAAAUCGAUCUAUUGAAUACUAUAUCAAAUUAUUAACCGAAUCUCUAGAUGUAUUUUUUGAUAUGAAAAAUAUAAAAAUUGGUGUGAAUUCAUUCAGUAUUGAAUAAAAAUCGAAUUUUUAGUGAUCAAAUCAUUCACUCCAUAGUCCGAUAACCUUUUCAAGAACUGAUGAAUCAGACAGAAUAAAGAUAGAGUCCCCUUCUACAUGUCAAUACUGACAACAAUGAAAUUAUAGUAAGAGGAAAAUCCGUUGACUUUUAAAAUCGUGAGGGUUCAAGUCCCUCUAUCCCCAACAAGCCUAUUUGACUCUCAAAAUCUUUAGCCUACCCUACACCUUUUGGUUACAAAUUCAUUUAUUUUUCUGGUUCUUUGACAAACAUAACGUAGGUGGACGUAAAUGACUUUCUCUUCUCACACGCGAUAUAGAAUACACAUCCAAAAUGAUUCACAAUCAAUAGCUUUACGAAUACUGAAAAAGUGGUCUUUUUGAAGAUCAAAGAAAUUAAAGUACUUGGGAAAAAUUUGUAAUAUACCCCUUUCCUUUAAUUGACAUAGACCCUAGCCAUCGACUAAAAUGAUAAAAUGAGUAUGGGUUACUACGCAGGGAAUGGUCGGGAUAGCUCAGCU
This 827-nucleotide unclassified non-coding RNA is filed under the name Utricularia biloba. RNAcentral's name for it is "partial contains tRNA-Leu (trnL) gene and trnL-trnF spacer region". The stretch from base 1 to 418 matches the Rfam family "Group I catalytic intron", at positions 27 to 253 of the family's 253-position model. Rfam says of the family: Group I catalytic introns are large self-splicing ribozymes. They catalyse their own excision from mRNA, tRNA and rRNA precursors in a wide range of organisms. The core secondary structure consists of 9 paired regions (P1-P9). The record is from RNAcentral. Lineage: Eukaryota; Viridiplantae; Streptophyta; Magnoliopsida; Lamiales; Lentibulariaceae.